This is a non-coding RNA of Schistosoma rodhaini, 77 nucleotides long. The record is from Rfam. Lineage: Eukaryota; Metazoa; Platyhelminthes; Trematoda; Strigeidida; Schistosomatidae.
AGCUUUCUAAAUCCUUGCUAAGAUUUCAUCAGACACUAACCCACCAGGGCUGAUGAGACUUCAAGAUAAGUAAAGUA